Non-coding RNA from Coffea arabica (coffee), 5139 nucleotides. The record is from RefSeq and is a predicted model, not a curated record. Lineage: Eukaryota; Viridiplantae; Streptophyta; Magnoliopsida; Gentianales; Rubiaceae.
CUCUACCCUUCUGUCCAUCCCCAUCUUUAUAAUCUGAUAGGAAAAAGCAUCCUAGCAAGCUACAUACAACGAAAUCACCAAUCUGAUAUGAACAAAGCAUCCUAGCUAUUAAGCCCCAUACAAGGAAAGGAAAAUGGCCGACGCUGUCAUUAGUGCCACUAUUCAGGUUGCCUUGGAGACGGCAGUAUCUCUUGCCACUGAUAGGAUUGGUAUGUUAGUUGGGUUCAAGAAGGAUCUGGCCAGCAUGAGUCGAACUCUUACCUUUAUCAAUGCUCUCUUGGCUGAUGCUGAGGAAAGGCAACAAAACCAGGACCGGGGAGUCCAAGAAUGGUUGAAGAGUCUGGAGGAAGUUGCUUAUGAUGCUGGCAAUGUGUUGGAUGAGCUCAACUACGAAUCUCUUCGUUGCAAGGUGGAGUCCCGGAACCAACCCAAGAGCAAGGUAUGUUGCUUCUUCUCCUGCUCUAACUCCGUUGGUUUCCGUUGGAGAAUGGCUUCUAAGGUCAGGGACAUCAAGCUUAAGUUGAAUGAGAUCAAUCAAGAAGCCGAUGGAUUGGGACUGAUCGGCAGGGCAGUCAUGACAGCUGCCCUCCCUGCUGCUGCUGAUGCUGGAGACAGAAGAAAUAGGCAGACCGACUCGGUUGCUGUUCCAAUGACUGGAAGAGCCGAUGAUGAAUCAAAGAUAGUGAAGAUGCUGUUGAGCCCAUCUGAGAAGGUUGUCUCUUGUCUUCCCAUAACUGGUAUGGGAGGUCUAGGCAAAACAACUUUGGCUAAAUCGAUAUACAACAAUCACCAAAUUGAUGGGCACUUUCAGAAAAAGUUGUGGGUUUGCGUAUCAAAAAAAGUUCCAGUAGUGGAACUUUUCAAACUCAUACUAGUGCAAUUGACGGGAGAAAAGGUUGAAGUGGAUGAUAGGAAUGUCAUCGUUGGAAAAAUUCAGAAUCAACUAGAGGGAAAAAGAUAUUUCCUUGUCCUUGAUGAUGUGUGGGAUGAUAAUCAGGCAUUGUGGGAUGACUUUUUCACCACCUUGAAGGGGCUCAAUCCAACUGAUGGAAGCUGGUGUCUUGUCACUACUCGUAUUGGUCAACUGGCAGAUAUUGUGUUGAAAGUUCUGAGGAUGGAUGAUGAAGCCUAUGCCUUAGGAAGGCUACCUGAUGAUCUUUGCUGGUCUAUCCUAAAAGAAAAAGUAGUUGGAGGCGGAGAAGUACCUGAUGAACUAAAAGCAAUUAAAGAGAGAGUAAUCAAAAGAUGUGAUGGUCUACCAUUGGCAGCAAGUGUAAUUGGAGGUCUAUUAUCUUUAAAGAGAAAAGAGGAGUGGCAAUCAAUUUUGGAGAAUAGGCUUUCAAGUUUGAGUGGAGAUGAAGAUCGUGUCAUGCAAAUACUUAAGUUGAGUUUCGAUAAUUUGCCAUCUCCAUACAUUAAGAAAUGUUUUGCAUAUUGUUCUAUAUUUCCUAAGGAUACUGAGAUGGAAGGAGAUAUGCUAAUCGAGCUUUGGAUGGCAGAAGGUUUCCUCCAAGCAGACAUCAACAGCCAAAUGAUGAUGGAGGAAAAUGUAAUUAAUUAUCUGAGAAUUUUAUUGCAGAGUUCAUUGUUUGAAGAAAUAAUUGAUGAGUCAGAAACAUCAACAUCUUAUAAGAUGCAUGAUCUGGUGCACGACCUUGCCGAGUUAAUGUCAAAGUCUACCAAAGUCAUUAUUGAUAGGGAUACGAGUAUAGUAGGCAAUGGUAAUCAGAUUCGUUACCUUGCAACAGACUUAUUUGGUGGUGGAGAAGACAGAGAAAAACUUUUGGAGAGUCUAUCAACUUCGCUUCAUACAUUGUUUGUAAAAGGUUACUUAUCUGGUGAUAUGUUAAUGAAGUUGAAGAACUUGUAUGUUUUGAAUUUGUCUCAUACAAGAACUCGAGAGCUACCAGUCUCAAUUGGCAAACUGAUACAUUUGCGGUACAUUAACCUUAAGUGGUCUGCAAUCAGUAUUUUGCCAGACUCCCUUUGCAAGCUUUAUAAUCUGCAGACAUUGACGCUAAGUCACUCAGAUGUUGACCGUCUUCCGGAGAGGAUGUGCAAUUUGAUUAGUUUGAGACAUCUCCACUAUUACACAUUUGAUGAAACAUUUCAAAUGCCGCUAGAGAUGGGACGGCUGACUUGCCUUCGGACGCUAGAGUUCUUUAACGUGGGUCGAGAGAAGGGUCGGCGAAUUGGAGAGCUUGGAAGCUUGAAGAACCUCAAAGGCAAAUUGGAGAUACGCAAUCUGGAACUAGUAACGGAUAAGAAAGGAGCUGAGGAAGCAAAACUAUCUGAAAAGGCAAAUCUAUUUAGGCUGGAACUUGAGUGGGCAGAUGAUCGAGAAGGCGACAAUUACAACGACGAAGAUGUGUUAGACAGCCUUCGACCCCACCCAAAUUUGGAGGAGUUGGUAAUUUGGAAUUUUAUGGGCGAUCAAUUUCCUCGAUGGUUAAUGGAUUUGCCAACAACAACAACAAUCCCCAAGUUAGCAACAACACUCCCCAAGUUAGCGCGUUUGGAAUUUAAUUGCUGCAACAGAUGCAGAGAACUCCAUCCCCUACAAAACUUUACGUCUCUUAAAGAGCUGGAGAUUUAUAAGUGUGAUGGGUUAACGAAUCUGCCCGGUGACAUUCUACACUCUUGUGCCUCUCUCCAGAAGCUUGAGGUGAGUGGGUGCGACAAUCUUAUCUCCUUUCCGCCUGAUUUGCAACAAACGCCUUCUCUCUCGGAGCUGAAAUUAUUGGGGUGUCCCAAACUGAAAACAAGCAUGACGCCCAAAGGAUUUGGUUUCCUAACUAGCUUAAGGGAGCUUGAAAUUGGUCCCUUCUCAGAUGAUGGUGAUGAUCAUGAAAAUUCUUCAAUUUACAAUGAGUUUGAUUGGUCUGGAUUGAUAUCCUCCUCCUCCUCCUCUUCGUCAUGCGCACUCCGUCGAUUAGUAUUAUAUGGGUUGCCACACAUGGAGUCACUGCCACCUCAGAUCCAAUACUUGACCACUCUCACGUCACUAACGCUACGUGGCUUUGGAGGUAUAAAAGCUCUGCCAGAUUGGUUCGGAAACUUCGCUACUCUUGAAGCGCUGCGGUUAACUGGUUUCAAAGGGCUUGGACAUCUACCCUCUGAGGAUGCCAUGAGAAGUCUCACCAAACUAAAACGUCUGCAGGUCCAUGGUUCUCCUCUGUUAAAAGAAAGAUGCACUCCUGGGAGCAGCGGCCCCGACUCCCAGUGGUCCAAAGUUUCUCACAUUCAAGACCUAGACAUAACCGAUGAUUAACCAACUUUCAUCUUCAGAUCAAAUUCAAUCACGAUUGAUAGAAGAAUAGCUUCACGAACAGAGACAAUGGUCAAUUAUUGAGGAGUUUUCGCAACUGUUGGUCAUCACUUUCAUGUUUGGGUUCAAAAAUUCUGAAGAAAUCUUGUUGUCAUGAAGAUAUUUUUGAGGUAGCAAAGGAAGGUUUGUACUGUUUGAGCAAUGAAGUUGCACAAAACUUGGUGGAGUAUCUUCCAACUGAACAACUCUAUGUGCAAUGUUCUGAAGCAUUCUGGUAGUUAGUCAAGUUUGCUUGUUGUGAAUUGCUUCUCUUAAUGAAUCCAUCUUGAUAGAGGCUUUUAAGCUCUCUCUGCUUUUAUGAUUGUUGGUUGCUUCCUUUUUUAAUGGUAAGUUUCUCCUUUUGGGGCUUUAGUUACAAUGACAGAAAACCUGCAAUUAUCUGAAAAUUUCCAUUUGCUUUAUUCUAUGCUAUUCGCCGGCUUGAGUUUGAAUUUUUGUGCUUUGCAGCGAUUUUAGGCCCAAAACUCAACAGGGAACCUCAUCCAUGGCUCUUACUUACUUACUGUCAGAUAAUUUUUAAUACCAAUCAUCUUCUUCCACUGCUUAAUAUUGGGUUUUAAGAAGUUUAAUAUCCAAUGAAUUAAUUAAAACCUUUAAAAAAUUGUUAUGUUUAAGACCUUCUUCAAGCAGCAGAGGCUUGGUAGACUAUCGCCUUCUGAAGUUUAUGUUCAAAUGCCAUGAUUUGAGAUUUUAAGAGUCAAAAGAGUUAUAAUUAGCUCUACGCGUUGCAUCUUGCUGUCUCAAAGAGUUUGCCUUCAUGGCAAUUCAGGAGCUCUCUGCCUUUCACGCUUGUAGGUGCUACUCUUUUUUCAGUGUUUUGAACCAAAACUAAUAUAGUUUCUAUGGCACUUCUGGUACUUGUAGACUGAGCAGAAAAAUUUGAUAUAUUCUUACUGAUUUAGGUUAGAAAAGCGCAACAGAAACAAAUAUUGAUUUGGCUUUCUGAAUAAUUGACUAAAAAAAAUGUCAUGCAAUUUCCAGUUAGCCUUAUGAUUUGCUAUGUGAAGUCCUGAAUCUGAGUUUUCUGUUUUGCAGUGACUGUAGGCUUAAAGCUCAGUCGGGGAACAACAGAGUAGGUUCUUUAAUUACUGCCUUCACUUUUGAAAAUCCUCUCUUUCCUUGAGAGUAUAUCAACUGAUAAUUGAAGUAACAACAGACCAUAAAGACUUCAGAAGUUUCCAAAGCUGUUGGUUGUCAAACUGAUUUUUGGUUCUAAGAGUCCGGUAAGAUGUUUUUUGGAGCAGCGACAGAAGAUGUCUGUUCAUGCAAAAAAGCUGCACGGACUUGUUAGAGUAUCUUCUAACACAAUCAAGUCUAAGCUGCAAGUUUUGAAGCAUAUCGCCGCAGUUAGUCAAGACUGUCAAGCAUACUUGCUGCCCGCUGCUACUUGCUGCAAUUGUUUCAUCCGCUGUGAUGAAGGCUAUUAAGCUCAUCCCACCUUCUAUACUUGUUGGUUGCUCCUCUCGUCAUGAUCCUGUUUCAAUCAGAUCAAAUGAAAACAUCCAGGAUGGAGUCUCUUUUGCUCUCUGCCUUGGACGGCCAAAGCCUGAGAUCUUCCUUGUCGGCUGGUGAUUUUAAACUGUCCAACCGAUUCAGCAAUUUGUAAACAUGUUAAUGAGGUGCUCUUUUACUUCUUUUGGAACUCAAUUUGCCAUAUCUUCCGUGCUGCUUGUAGUUCAAAGUAGCCAGUAUUUUGCAGCAGAAAGAUGUGGAUUAGCUGAACCCUGAUAGCUGCUUGCAUCCUUCUUGAAGUUGUAUCUUAGCUCUACAACAGUCAACAUAUUUUUUUCUCAGUGUUUUGCAGUUGACUA